Molecule: ribosomal RNA, 523 nt
Filed under: uncultured bacterium
Lineage: Bacteria
Description: bacterial SSU rRNA
Rfam family: Bacterial small subunit ribosomal RNA
Source: RNAcentral
AGAGUUUGAUUCUGGCUCAGGAUGAACGCUAGCUACAGGCUUAACACAUGCAAGUCGAGGGGCAGCAUGAAACUUAGCUUGCUAAGUUUGAUGGCGACCGGCGCACGGGUGAGUAACACGUAUCCAACCUACCGUUUACUACGGGAUAGCCUUCUGAAAAGGAGAUUAAUACCGUAUGGUAUUCUAAAGUUUCAUGACAUUAGAAUUAAAGGUUUACCGGUAAUCGAUGGGGAUGCGUUCCAUUAGAUAGUAGGCGGGGUAACGGCCCACCUAGUCAGCGAUGGAUAGGGGUUCUGAGAGGAAGGUCCCCCACAUUGGAACUGAGACACGGUCCAAACUCCUACGGGAGGCAGCAGUGAGGAAUAUUGGUCAAUGGGCGAGAGCCUGAACCAGCCAAAGUAGCGUGAAGGAUGACUGCCCUAUGGGUUGUAAACUUCUUUUAUAAAGGAAUAAAGUGGUCCACGUGUGGAUUUUUGUAUGUACUUUAUGAAUAAGGAUCGGCUAACUCCGUGCCAGCCGCCGC